This 636-nucleotide ribosomal RNA is filed under the name uncultured bacterium. Its description in RNAcentral is "bacterial SSU rRNA". It matches the Rfam family "Bacterial small subunit ribosomal RNA", at positions 220 to 847 of the family's 1533-position model. The record is from RNAcentral.
CUUGGAUGGACCUGCGGUGCAUUAGCUAGUUGGUAAGGUAACGGCUUACCAAGGCAAUGAUGCAUAGCCGAGUUGAGAGACUGAUCGGCCACAUUGGGACUGAGACACGGCCCAAACUCCUACGGGAGGCAGCAGUAGGGAAUCUUCCACAAUGGACGAAAGUCUGAUGGAGCAACGCCGCGUGAGUGAAGAAGGGUUUCGGCUCGUAAAGCUCUGUUGGUAGUGAAGAAAGAUAGAGGUAGUAACUGGCCUUUAUUUGACGGUAAUUACUUAGAAAGUCACGGCUAACUACGUGCCAGCAGCCGCGGUAAUACGUAGGUGGCAAGCGUUGUCCGGAUUUAUUGGGCGUAAAGCGAGUGCAGGCGGUUCAAUAAGUCUGAUGUGAAAGCCUUCGGCUCAACCGGAGAAUUGCAUCAGAAACUGUUGAACUUGAGUGCAGAAGAGGAGAGUGGAACUCCAUGUGUAGCGGUGGAAUGCGUAGAUAUAUGGAAGAACACCAGUGGCGAAGGCGGCUCUCUGGUCUGCAACUGACGCUGAGGCUCGAAAGCAUGGGUAGCGAACAGGAUUAGAUACCCUGGUAGUCCAUGCCGUAAACGAUGAGUGCUAAGUGUUGGGAGGUUUCCGCCUCUCAGUGCU